Cygnus olor (mute swan) is the source of this 7133-nucleotide long non-coding RNA. RefSeq lists it as uncharacterized. Lineage: Eukaryota; Metazoa; Chordata; Aves; Anseriformes; Anatidae. The transcript is spliced from 3 exons. The record is from RefSeq and is a predicted model, not a curated record.
CGCAGGCUCUCCUAACGCUGCGCAUUCUGCGUACCUCCGGCAGGGCGCGGCGGUGCGGCGGGCGUAGCUGAGCUACGAGAAUAAGGCAGGGGGAGCGCAGCGCGGUGGCGCUUCGUGAGGGGAAAUGGCGGGCGGGGCAGCCCAGGGCCGCCUCAGCGCGCCUCAGGGUUGCCUCUGGCCUCUGAGGCUCCUCCAUCCGGCCCCGAGGAGCCUGGCCUCGGCCCCUCAGGGCUGUGUGUUAUUUCAAAGGUGCGACACUGAUUUUGAGAGCUUUUGCUGGGGUCCUUUAAUAAAACAUAGGAAGAGAAGGCCUUUGAUCUGAAUUGGAAACUUGAUAGAGUGGCAACCGUGUAUCAGUCCCUACUGGUGAAGUUAGUGCAGACAUUUCUGAUGCUUGCCUGGUGACAUGUAGCCAGAGCCAGUAGCAGAAUUUGGUGGGUGUGACUGGUUGCUGCUGGAGGAGUAGGAACAAGUGGCACCCAGGCUUUUUGGAUGGGUCCUAAUAAAGGCCUGGAAGAUUCAGAAGAUUAAAGUUUGUACUGAGCCCUGCAGAUGAGCAGAGUAAUUAAAAUACAGAAUCAGUGCUGUGCUCAGAAACUGGGCAACAUUCCCCAUCUCAGCUCUGCCAACAUGUCUCAGUCCUGGACUUCAGCACCCACUGCUUCCCUGCUCCAUAAGACACAGACUCAGCUUGGCCACCGCAUCUCAAUCUUGAUCUGUAACACCUCCUGCUGUUCCAAUUCUGGGGCCUUUUUGAGCAGAAAAUACCCUCUCUCUUCUAAAUUGUGCCAAAUUGCUUGGUUUUGGCCACAGAACUCAUUUUCACUUGUCACCUAACGGGAUACCUAGAGACUUUCAUCUAGCACUGUCAGCGCCAGAGGAAAAAGAACAUGUGAAUACCCAGUCCCCUGCUAAGUCCCCUAAUUAUAUAGUGAUGUGUUAAUAACGAACACGCUUUCAUGUCUUGGCAGUUGCAAAACACUCAUCAGUAGCGCAGUGCUUCAGAACUGGAAUCGCACAGGAAAGAUGCAAGUCCCCGUUUAAAUUACUUAGUAUCAGCAUUGUCUGUACCCAGCACUAGGGUCUGGAAGAAAUGCUAGCAUGAAGCUGCCAGAUGCCGGCUGUUUGGGUGCUCUGCAGAAUCGGAACCACCAUGCUAGAGACUUGUUGUUGCAGAAGUGAGACUUGCUGUGCAGAGCAUCUCUUUUUCUUUGGGGGUGUAACAGUUUCUAUCUUGGCUGGUGCAUGAGGGCUGGAGCUGGGAGCAUCCAGAUCCAGAGUUAUGUGCUGCUUUCAGUUUGAACCAAAUUGCUGGAUUUUGCAGUGCUGAUGGCUUGCACCCUGUGGUGAUGAGCCUGGUUUGCUGCACACCUGGGAGCUGAAGCAAGAGUGAACCUCUGUGUGUGCUGGUGAACACCCUGAGCCACUAAAGUUCAUGGCAGUGGCUGCCUGAGCUCAGGAACAAUUGCUCUGUUUCUGGAACAGAUGGCUCAGAUCGUCAGAAAUGGAGGAAUUAAACCCUUUGUCAGAAGGUCUUCUGGAAGCAAGGUAGAAGUCAGAAAACCCAAGGGUGUUAGCAUGGGGGAUAAUGUGCUUGGGGGAAAAGAGAGGAGGACGACAAAAAGAGGGGGAGCCAGGUGGGAGAGGUUUCCUUUCCAGAAGACAGAGGGACGUGGCUGAUGGUUGCGUCAUGUUCCCUUGUGAGCAGAAUCUUGAGCUGUGCCCAAAGUUUCUGCUUGCGCGUGCAGCGUGCGUGUUGGCUUGGGCUUUGGGGUCUGGCAUAAGCCCCCUGGCAGGGAUGGCAAACUUGGCCCCCUCCUGCAGACGGUGCAGCUGUGAGCAGCGCUGCCAGGUGUUGAGAGCUGCAGAGCCACAGCCCAGCUAAACGCCUGUUUAUCUGUCAUGUUUGGCCUUGUAAACAGCCCUGUGAGAGCUGUUGGAUGCUGAGGUCAUAUCCUGGCCCAGGAGAAAGGAUGGAUAUACAUCUUGCAUGAGCAGGGUGUAGGGACAGAGCAGUGCUUCAAAUGCUUUCUUCUGUUCCAACGUCUUUGGCAAGGCAGAAGAUGAAUGGCAGAUGCCCAAUCUUAUCCUGGGAAAGGAACACUGCAAAUGAAGCUCUCAAAAUACUCCUCAGUCCCCUAGAUCCAUCCAAUUUACAUACUCAGUGUUGUGUGGAUUGUAUCUUAUGGUGCAUACUUUGCAUUCUUUUAUGUAGGUUACAAAUUCUGCUCGUGUCACUUCAUGCUAACAGCAGUGCCAGUGUCCCUGAUAGCGAGAGUGCCUUGCAGUGCUCGGUGUCUGUUGGGAUCGCAGCUCUGAGGUCAGAUGGAGGCCACUGCUCGCCCAGUGUCACAGCGUCAUCAGUGCUCGCCUCUGACAGAUUGGCUUAGUACCACCCCAUCGGCAGAACGUGUUGUGAACGCGACACUUAUUUCUAUUACCAUUCAAGAAAAUGCCUAAAAACCAGAUCUCUGAGAAGCCUUAUAUUUGCAACCCUUUAGGCUUUAAUUUAGGCGCUAGCUGUGGCAGAAGACCGUGGAAGAAGGAUGUAGGCAGGCCUGGAGAGACUAGACAAGAGAAGCCAAAGCAUUUGCUGUCUUUUAGGUCUGUCUGUGUGCAGAGCUGUGCACGAGGACCUGCUGAGGUUGCUUUGCCAAGGGGUAGGACAUGCUUAGGUCAGAUUUCUGUGAGUGUGAGGGAGGGAAGAGGCAUGAUCUCUGGCUGAGAGCCACACAGUUUUACCAGCAAAAAUACUAUAUGAAAAUUGCCUUUUUUGUUUGUCUUAUUCAGCAUGUGUCUGAUGCAUGUCCGAAGGAGCCACAGCCUGGAUCUUAGGCAUGGGUCUUUGUGGGGAGCAGUUCUCUCUUCUGGCUCAGAAGCUGUUUUGCUGUUCCAAUCACAUGCAGAACCGAAAGAAUCACGUUGGGUGGAGAGAGCGCAAGGUGAUGUAACAUCAGCUGUGUGCUGCUCAUCCUUGGCGAUGACCCACCUCCCAGCAGGGCCCUGUGUGGGCCCUUAUCCUGCAGCCUGCUUAAUCAGAAAAGCCCCAGGUUUGCCUUUGCUCCACCCUCCUCAGGGCUCUUAGUGCCAUUCAGUAGGGUGAGCAAAAACUGCUGCAGCUCAAAGCACGGGAGCUCGGGGCUGUAGCACUCAGGCACAUGGUUCUGCUUUCUCACAGGUAGGAGACCUGCUGCCUGAUGUGAUGCACCAGUGCUGUAAGCUCAGCACAUUUUAACGUGCUAACUGAAGCCGCAGAUCACGUUUUGCAAUAAAUUUGUGUAUAGGUCUACUGAGAGGCGGUUGUUUCAGAAUUUUACCAGCGAGACUGCCAAAACUAUUUGUGUAUUUCAUAGUUCAUAUUCUAAAUGACUCGUAUGCAUCCCCGUGUCAUAUAUUAACCGAUACAACUCAUAAACUGUGGUGCCUAGCACAGCUUUCGUCCCUAGAUCUGUCUACAGAGGUUUUAGCAAUAGAGCUUGCUUUAUCCAAGUUGUCCCUGGUAUUUCCGUUGUGUGAAUGUCUGUGUAAGGCACGGAGGGUUUGGUGUAAAAUGAACCGAUGACAGUAAUUGUUGCUGCUGUGAAACCAGAGUCCUCUUAAUUGGCAGAAGAGGUCUCUAGCCUCUGCCGCAAAUGGGCAAUGAGUGGAGGGCUAGAACCUUCUCUAGAGGAGAUGGGGCUGAGAAAAGUGAAACACUGAGAAAACGUUUCAUAAAACAAAAAGGAGGUAGGGAAGCAAAGGGGAGGUGAGACUUGCUAUAUGGGGAAGGGGUUGAACAAGUUUUCAAAGAAAAUGCCUUAUGCUCUGGAAAUAAUGCUCACUCUAUCACAGAAAUCCAGAACAAAAUCGGUGCUAUUAUAAAUACUAUUUGAUGUCUCUUUUGACUUACAUAAGCAUGCAGUUAUUAUUGAGGCACUCUGAGCGCUAAAUUCAUUUUCCCUUUGUAGUUUUGAGGCACCUGUAACUCUUGUGAGGAAGUGUUACCUCUAGGCUAGGCAACGUGUCUGACAAGGAGAUGUAGCUGGCUGAAGGAGAUUGAGAUGAAACUCAAGUAGUUCCCAGGGGAAAUGCUUUGUGCUCGUAUGGCUGACCAACCAGUUUAGGUUCCGGGGACUUCAUUUUGAAAGUUUGCAUGCGAUUUAUGCUGUCGUCUUCAUUUUAUGAACUUGGAGAUUCAGCUUUAUUAACGCUGCAGGAAUGAAUGCUUUUGUGCAGUAUCUUCAGGCUAAUUUGGGUGUUAGGGUUGUUCUCACCACCUUAGAGCAAAGCACAUCUCUCCUGCAGAAAUACAGCACCGAUGGCUCACGUCAUAUUGCUCUGGAAGAGAAGAGCCAGUAAGCAAAUGAGCUAAAGAAACAAGAGAAAGCAUUGCAAGCACUUUAAUGCUGAAUGCACAGGGAGGACUCUUCCUCCUUUGUCUUUACAAAAAUGUAGAAGAAAGCAAACCAAUCCUUUUCUACCUCUGUUUUUUGGAUUUCAGAAAUAGCUGCUGUGAACUUUCACUACUACAGUUGCCAAAGCAGAUUGUGUCACUUAAUUCUUCCCCAUUUUAACUUCAGCUGAAAAAUUGAGCAUGCAAAAGAAACCCUUAACAGCAAGUGACUCCAUUUGCUGCCUAAAGGAGGUCAUUCAUCUCUGAAGGCAAGUGAUUAGACUUGUCAGUGUGCCUCGCUCCAAAGUCUGCUGCUAAUCCCUCUUGGGCUGAAUGUUUGGUGUAGCCAAACACUAGUUUAUAAGAAAAGUUUUGGUUGCCCAUCAGUGUCGAAAUAGUUUGUAUUAAGAAUUCUUCAGAGAAGAGCAACAAAGAUGAUUGUGGAUCUGGACCAGCUUCUGGGCAGAAGUUAAAUUAAUGGGGAUGCUUCAGCCUUGAGCAGAGAUGCUCUGGAGGAAUGUCCUGGAGGGCUGUGAAGUUGUCUGUGUCUGGAGGGUGACCUGUGGAGGACUGCUCCCUGUCUCUUUCCCAGGCAUAGCGCUAUUCACCACUGUCAGGGAGGAGAUAAUGGGCGUCUGCGGUCUGACAUGCUGUGACUCUUUUCCUUGUGGAGUGCGAGGUGUUGCUGAGCAUGGUCUUUACUUCAAGUGAGGUCCUGAGAUGCCAAACAGGGAGGUGUGUGAGAAAACCCUUCCCAAACAGAGCUCCCUUAGGUGAGAGCUGAUAAUUCUGUGGAGACUGCUACUGGUUUAGCACUUAGCUGGCAGCUGAAGGUGAGAAAGACAGCUCUGGGCAGCUGCUGGGGAUGCUAAACUGCGGAAGGGCACAGCGAUGCACUAAGCACCUCACAGGUUAUCAAAGUAGGUGAGCCUGACUCGGGUGCUGCUGCCAGAUGAGGAGCAGGAGCCGGAGGCCGGCUGGAUUUUCAGUGGCAGUGCAUGUUAUUUUCUCUGUCAAGUCACAGGUGCUGAGAUGCUUCUUGCUGUUAGGCUCUUGAGCUUUCAGCUGGGCACCCGUCCAGCCAUCCGUCACUCCUUGGAUUUUGUGCACAGGAAACCAAAUGUGAUCUGAGAGUUGCCACCGCAGCAGAGAUAUCAAACAGACACCUGGCAUUUAAUACAAACUGAGGUAAAUUCAAUCCGAAAAUAGAACCGGGGUGCGCCUUGGCUGCCAGGCAAGUGAGCCCGUGCUGGGGCUUCUGGCUGCUCCCUGAAGGCUGGGUUGUAACCCUGUAGAUCAGCUCCAAACAGAAAGCAGGAACAAUGUUUGGAUGUAACGGUAGAAAAACUGAUGUGGGGCAGCUCAGAACCAAGCUCAAAGCCAAGACUUUUUUUUUCUUCCAUGAUGUGAUCAAAUGAGUAACAACUGAGUGAGCUCUUUUGUUCUUUGUGGCCCAACUGACAGAUAAUGCAGGGGGUGGAGAGAUUGGCUUUGUUUUUAACUGCAAAAUCCGUGAAGGGAUAUGUUCUUUGUGAAUUAAUUUGGAGAAAAUGGGGUUUAACUAUUCGACAAAAGAUUCAUUUCCACCCACUUCCCAGCUGGCUCUGGAGUGCAGUUUAAACAUAGACUGUCACAUUCGCAGCACCCGUGAAUGUUUGAACUGAAAUAGCAACUCGUAUCUGGCGGGGCAGCGAGCAGCAGUGGUGCUGCUUGUGGGUAACGGGUGGCAUCACAGAAUCAUUUGGGGUGGAAAAGACCUCUGAGAUCAUCAAGUCCAACUGUUAACCUAGCAAAUGGCGUGGUUGCUGUAAUACCAGCCACAUUCUGCAGACAGGUGCAGAGAGAUCUGCAGCGCAGGAGCUGCAGCGGAUCAUAAUUGCAAACUCUGCUAACGAGCUGGGGGAACCAGCCUAGAAUGAGGUAACCCCUUGACCUUGGAAAGGUCUGUGCUGUCCACCCCCCAGUAAUGAGCCAGCUCAGACACUUAGGAUGUGUCAACUCCAGAUUCCUUCCAGAUCUUCCAAAUGGUUUUAAACCUUUAGAUCUGCCAACGAGAGAACGAUUUUGGUUUACAUUACUGUGACACACCUGGUCCACAGCAGCCUUAUCCCUACACAUACAGCCCGAUGAUACGAGCUGAGAGGUGACAGUCAUCUGCUGCCUGUAAGUGGAGUGGCGGGACAGCGACAGCUUUCCUGUUAAUGUCAUCACUGUCAACAGAGCAAAGACGCCUCUAAAUAGCACGGGAAUGUUCAGCAAUUGUCAUCUCAUGUGGAAAGUUCAAACUGUAGUUCAAGGACAGAAGGUCUUCUAAGUAAAAGGAGAUCAAAUCCCCAAGGAUUUGUAAAAUGCUGCUGCUAGUGCCCCCCAAAUGCCUUUAGCUUAUUUCGCUGAAGCGGCAUGCUGCAGCUUAUAUCUGUAUGACAAGAAAAGGACAAAAGUGUGCGCAGUUGGGACCCUGAGCAAUUUUGCUGGUCGUAAAUACAGCGAGGCACCAAUAAAAUGAGACUCUUAUUCUGAGCAAAAGAAAAUGCAGAAAAUUGAGCAUCAGACAGAGCCAAGCUGUGUGCCUACUUUGGGUGCAGUUAGGAGGAAUCUGGGGGAAAAAAAAAGCUGCGUAAGACAGAGCAAUUCAAAUUCAAAAAACUUCAAUUGCAAAUACUUGCUACUCUGUCAGGAUGGUGGGACACCAGAGAAGUCUACAAAUUUACUACCUUUACUGUCUACAAAUAACACGGGGCAGGCCCCUGGAGGUGCUGAG